This 497-nucleotide ribosomal RNA is filed under the name uncultured bacterium. Its description in RNAcentral is "partial 16S ribosomal RNA". It matches the Rfam family "Bacterial small subunit ribosomal RNA", at positions 28 to 507 of the family's 1533-position model. The record is from RNAcentral.
GAUGAACGCUGGCGGCGUGCCUAAUACAUGCAAGUCGAGCGAACAGACGAGGCGCUUGCUGCUCUGACGUUAGCGGCGGACGUGUGAGUAACACGUGUAUAACCCACCUAUAAGACUGAUAUAACUUCGGGACACCGGAGCUAAUACCGUAUAAUAUAUUGAACCGCAUGGUUCAAUAGUGAAAUACGGUUUUGCUGUCUCUUCUAGAUGGUUCCGCGCCGCAUUAGCUAGUUGUUAAGUUAACGGGUUACCAAGGCAACGAUGCGUAGACGAAGUGAGAGGGGGAUAGGCGGCACUGGAACGGAGACACGGACAAGAGGACUACGGGAGGCGGCAGUAGGGAAUGGGCGGCAACGGGGGAAAAUAUGACGGAGCGACGGCGCGCGAGUGAUGAAGGUCUUGGGAUCGUAAAAAUGGGUUACGAGGGAAGAACAAAUGUGGAAGGAAAUAUAGACGGAGUGACGGUAACUAAUAAGAAAGCAACGGCUAACUACGUG